GGUUGUGAGGGUGAUCUGGCUGUGACACCCGUCGUCCCAUUGAUCCCCAGGGUUCAUUCUGCUGACGUGCUGGCUGGGCGGGUGUCCCCUUCCUCCUCUGUGAUCCGUUUGCAUUCCUCCGAAGCUGUGUGUUGGGCCAAAGAGGACAAUCACCCACCAUAGAGUAGGGGAUGACAGUUAAUCAGCCGAUGGUAUCCGAGUAGCUGCACUCCCUUGCUAGAACCUCCAAACAAGCUCUCAAGAGAAAUAGUACAAGAAGGCGCCGGGGAGAUGGCUCAGGAGGAUAAGCGCUUGACUGGCAAACACAAGGAUCUGAGUUCAAUCCCCGGUU
RNAcentral lists this small nuclear RNA (331 nucleotides) under Octodon degus (degu). RNAcentral describes it as "7SK RNA (ENSODEG00000023912.1)". The stretch from base 1 to 293 matches the Rfam family "7SK RNA". Rfam says of the family: 7SK was discovered as an abundant small nuclear RNA in the mid-70s but a possible function has only recently been suggested. Lineage: Eukaryota; Metazoa; Chordata; Mammalia; Rodentia; Octodontidae. The record is from RNAcentral.